Pelobates cultripes (western spadefoot toad) is the source of this 417-nucleotide non-coding RNA. Lineage: Eukaryota; Metazoa; Chordata; Amphibia; Anura; Pelobatidae. The record is from the annotation of a GenBank genome assembly.
GGCCAUUUUAACUCACAGACACUGUUUGGACUUUUCAACACGGUGCCAUCUUGCCAGUAUUUGGUGCACAGAGACAUCGUGCAGUGGUUUUGGACUAUACAGCAGGGGACACAUUAUAUAGUGAUUGUUUUUCAUUUCGCCUGUAUGUGUUCUGCAGAAUCUGCAUUAAACUGUAUUUUCCAAGGUACUGAACGGAUCUGGGUGAAUUUUGGAUAUGUGGUUCACCCAGAUCCCCCGGUUCCAAGGAUAUACUUUUUAUGGAGUUAUUGCAUGUUUUGGGGUCCCUGUGUGUUUUAUGAAACUGUAUUAUUUCUGGCCAGCAGAUAAUUGAGCUUUGUGUAUUGUAGAAACUCAAUUAUCUAGCCUGGCCCAGAGGAGGAGUUUUGUGUUGCAUAAAUUGUGAGUUCUGUGUGCCAG